GCCUCAGUGGCAUAGGGGUAUCGCGCGUCCUUGGUAAGGACGAGGUCGUGGGUUCAAAUCCCACCUGAGGCU
RNAcentral lists this transfer RNA (72 nucleotides) under Methanocorpusculum parvum. RNAcentral describes it as "tRNA-Thr". It matches the Rfam family "tRNA". Rfam says of the family: Transfer RNA (tRNA) molecules are approximately 80 nucleotides in length. RNAcentral also lists the same sequence under 2 other names. Lineage: Archaea; Methanobacteriati; Methanobacteriota; Methanomicrobia; Methanomicrobiales; Methanocorpusculaceae. The record is from RNAcentral.